CUUCCCUCACCCCGCGCCCCUCCCCCAACGUAGAUCCCACGCCCCCACCGGUCGCCGCCCUCGCGUCCACCUCAUCCUCCCCGCGAUGCUCUCGCUUCUCCUCGCGCAAACCAUAGGGUCCGAUGGUGCCUACAGUCCCUGGACUCUGGAGGACUUCGACAUGCACGAGAACCUGUUGUAUCGGUCGGGACUAGCGAUGGCAGCGGUCGCGGUGCUCCUACCAGAGGGAAACCUAACCGGUGCCCCGUCGACCUCUAGGCACUGUGGGCAGGGCGGCCGUUGGCGAGGCCGUGCCCCCAUCCUCCCCGCCCCGACAGACGAUCUGAGCCGUCGCCGAGGCUGACUGCGCCAUCGCCCUCACCCUACAGAAGACGUGGAGGAGGAAGGUCCUACAGAAUAUGCGGAGGUCGGCAGCGAGGGUGGCAAGCGGGUAGUGGUGGACGCCUCUCACGUGGUCAGCCACACCGACCACGGCAUGCCUUGGAAGCUCCUCAACGCGGUGUGUGAGACAGGGCUCGUCUUCUUUCGCGCACCCAUGGAGGACAAGCUCCAGUUCACCUACGACCCGGCCAGGGAUGCCGUCUUGGAGUGGUACUUUUAACCUUGUGCUAUUACAAUGGCUGGAGGUUUCUGUAGGUUCUAAUGGAAGAUUACAGGGUCGUAUUGAAGUAUCAAGAGCUUUUGGUGAUCGCCAGUUUAAGAAGGUUUGCUGAUGCGUACCAUUGUUUGCUUAAUCAUAGAUGCUAUCUAUUGCCCAUCACUGUUUGAUUUGAAAUAUUCUUGUUUCCUUACAUUUACAUGCAGUUUUCUUCAUAAAGCGGACAUUCAGAUCGAAAGCAUUAAGUAAUAUUGAAACUUGGUUAUUUGCCUGUGACUAUUCUGAAUCUGAUUGGCAGAGUUCAUAUGCAUUAAGUAAUCUGAUUGGCAUGCCAGGAUCGAUGUAGUGAAUGAGCACUUUUUAAUUGUUGUUCCUUGUUGUGAAGUAACUGUGAGUGUUUGUCCCAUGGGUUCAGUUCCAAUAAUCUUUCUUAAGAUAAUUGCUUACAAUUUUUAAUUACAUUUUGGUAUUCUUAUCAGACAUCCUGAUUGCAAGCUAGUUGUUAGCCAUGAUGACUAUAGCUUAACUUCCAAGCUGCCAAGGGAGAGAACUUCUGUUGUAACGGUACUAAGAAACCCAGUUGAUUGUGUAUUUAGCACAUAUGAGUUCUUAGUUGAAGUUGUAGCUAGAUUCCUUGUGCACCCAAACUUAACUUCUGUGAAGUUAAUGAGUACCCGUGUGUUAACAAAUUGUUGUGUUGUCCUUGUCCGAACUUUAGAUAUCUGGCCUUGGAAUUACUUGGUUCCAUGUAUCAGGGAAGACCUGUUUGCCAGGGUAUGCCUGUUACUUUCAGUUUAGCCUUUGGUUUCAAUUUGCACUUUAUAGAAUUAUACUGACAGAAAAUAAUAGUUCUCUUUUUCAUAGCAAUUUCCCAGUACAUAUUGUCUUGUCAAACUGACCAAUUUAUAUGUUCAUUGUUCAGUGAUUUUGUUGCAAAUCUGUACCAGUACUGUGUUAUGUCUCAUGUGUAUUUAUACGUUAUAAUGUUAUACAUUCUCGCACAAGCAAAACUAUAGCAAACAUCUGCCUGCCGCUGAUUUCCUUAGCCAGCUUUAAAAAACCUGGUUUACUAUUUUUUAUGUGUACUCAUGUUACCUUGACAGAUUACUGAGUUAACGAACAACUCAUACUUUGAUGUAGCACAUGAGGUUCGACAUUAUGUGAGGAAGCAGCCGGAUCUUGGUCGUAUUGUGCUUGUAGUUGCUAAGGUAUAUAAUGAAUGUCAUGAAGGAUUGUUUUCCCUUAAUCCCAUAUUGUGUGAGAUACUAAAUAUAUGUCCUGAAAACAACUUACGUGUAGGACUCGCAAAACCCCCGCUAAGCAAACUGAUAGAAAACUUUUAGAGGUGGAAAUGAUGAAGAUGAUAGUGCUGAUGUCGACACAAAUGAUCCUGCUGUACCUCAGUAACUCCACUUUCUUCCCAGCCCUUUAGAGAUGAUAUGACCAUCUUUGUUCGACUAUUUUCCCAGCACUGGUCUAUACCGCAGAUCGAUGCAUAAACAACUGCUUUAGAAAAACAUAGUUUUGAAGGAUAAAACUGAAGAUUAGGAAUGACAAAUUAAAGAGUCAUCAUAGCUAAUGAACAUCUUAGCUACCAAAAAUCAUGUUUGUCCAUCUAGAAACCUUUUUCCCCUGCUCACUGCCCUAUGAUUACCAGGUUUGAGAAUUCUUUUUCCAAUAGAAUUUGUAGGCUACAAUAACCUGGCUCAAAGAAUGUGAAUUCAUUUCCCUUUGUGCUAAAGAAUCACAAAUAGUUGUAUGUACUCCUAAACAUGAAUAAGUGCAGUCAUUUUGUAGAAAUUAAAUCAUGUGACAUUCUAUGCAGAAGAUACUAAUAGUACCACCACUACCAUGUUCUACUUCAACAACAAACUUCAGAAAAGAUUAAGAGGUCAACGUUUUAAAAUGAAUGGAGCUUUUUAUAGACUGUUUGCAAAUGAAGGUAUGUAGAAACUCUGAAUUGUAUGUGCAUUAGCUUCCCAUGGUUCAGAAAACAAUAACUAUAUUGACCAAAAGUUGAGCCACUUCCCACAUGGUAUGCGGUCUUACAGUCCAAACAUCAAGGUAGUUGUCCACAGAUUGUUGGACCAAUUCACAGUGAUAGAUUAACUUAACUCUAACUGCCCUCUGUCAAGACCAGAGAUAGCCAAGUAAUAACUAAACUCCUAGGAAACUGCUUCUAAAAGGGACGGAUAUCAGAUAACCAAGUAGUGAGAAUUCAGCUAACCAUAGCAGGUGGUGCAUGCCUAUUAUGAACUUGACAAGAGCUUCGACCUAGGCAUUUUUCGCCCGAGUGGCUUCACACCAACCUCAAGGACCUCGACGUCAAAGUACUCGACUGUAGCGAUCUCUAUUCGACCUGUGAUUUAUUAUUUGUGCAACGUGUAACUUGCAAUUUGAUAGUCAAACACAAUAUUAGUAGCUUUUGAUUGCCAUUUUAGUAACGAUAUCUAUGGUUAGACUUAUCUGACUGAUAAUCUAUUGGAGUCUUUUCGUUAAAGGAACCUAUGAUGUCUAAGAAGAAAAUAGUCACCUUAAUUUUGGAUAAGUGGUUAAUGUGACAGUACGUGUAACUUGCAAUCGGUGUUGCUGAGAAUAUUUAGGCUUGUUUGACAUUAUGUUAGACUUACCAUGAUUAGUAACAAAACGAUAAAACCUAUAUUUGCAAAUUUAACUACAAUGACUGGAUUUACUUACCAAUUACUUCUCGUUCUGUUUUCUUUGACCCAUUAUUGAGAAGUAGCAUGUCACACUUCAUUUUGUAUGUGCCUUGAGAAAUUUGAAGGGAUGGUAAUUCUUUUCAUUAGCAGUUGCAUCCUUAUGUUUCUCCUUUUGUCAUUUACAAGUGGUAUUUUGAAUAUGGAUACAAUAUUGCACAUUAUUCGUUUUAAGAAAGAGAUGUUAAUCAUGCCUUGAGUAUAAUGUUUUAGAUUUUACACUAACCCACCUCCAUGUUCUAUUUCGUAUGUUUUUCUCUUGCACCCCUUUUAUUCAAUUGUUUUUUGGUUAGUCUAAAAUAGUACAAUUCAUGGAGAUAUUUUUGUUGCUGUCAACUCAGCUACGUCUUGUUGACUGUGAUGUUAAUGCCAUGAACCGAGUAGCAGUUUAUGCCCAUGAGAAUGCUUCAAUGCCCCAUUUGGGUCUUGUGGGCAAAUGAUCGGAUGGUGCAUAACUUCGAUGUAGCUUAUUUGGUCAGCUUAUAAUGGAACGAUGGGAAGACUUUGAUCCACCACAGCGCUUGGGAUGUUGAGCUGCAAUUUGGAUCGACAAUUAUUUGACAACAACUAAAAUACAUUUUUUCUUGCUUCUGCUCUUGCAGUCUUUGUAAAUUCAGGUGUCAGUGUUGGAUUCAAAUACCUUUUAAAAAAUAGAGGUUAGCAUUCCACUAGAAUAUAUGGUCACAUGUGGCUACCUAUUUCCUGCAUUCAAAAUGUAGUCACAUGAGCAGUGAUGAACUGACGAUACCAUAUUUGGCUACUUAUUUCUUGCAUUGAAAAUGUGGAGCUAAAGUGUGUAUGUUUUGUUACACAAACGUUGGUGUUGUUGUGCUUCUUUUGCUGAAGCACUGCCUUUUACGGUUGGCGACACUCAAUGUUCGAUCACCUGUACAAAACAAUAUAUGCAUUUUCUUUUGAGCAAUUCUUUUAAAAUAUAUAGGGCAAUGAAGAGCUUCAUAUUGUGUUGAACCUUUGCCUAUAAUAUUAAGUUGCAAAAGAGAGUUUUAUACUUACGACAUGCUACAUUUUGUUAUCCUUAUAGCUGGUUAGCCUAUUGCAGAAGGUGGUUGAACUUGUACUUUGAGACCAAAUAUAUAUUGCAUACUUGAUAUUAUACUAUAUUUGAGCUUGUCUUUCUUAUUCUACUCUUAUCUGUUCUUAUGAAGAUUAGAGGAAUGUGUUUGGGGUGAGUGAUUUUUUUGUGUUGUUUCCACUGUCCAUGGCUAUGGAGAAGGAGCAAAGGAGGCCACGUAGCUCGAAGAUAGCGUCAGUGUCCAUGAAGGCGUCCUUCGCAAAUGCGACGCUUCAAGGCAUGAAGAACAGAAGCCAUUUUUGAAGGGACACAAAAACUGUACUGCAACAAGACGUGUGGACAAGCUGAGGAAGAAGUUGUGGCACGAGGAGAACGUCCACCGAGCUCUAAAGCGGGCGUUCACGAGGCCGCUCGACGCUCUGUCUUGCCUCCCUCCUUUCCUAUUGUCUCAAGCAUUGGAGCUUCUGGUCCCGUUGCACGUGGAAAAUCCUUGUACUUAAAGAUUGCAAUGUAGUGGUCCCGUUGCAACACACGGACACUCACCUAAUAUUAAUUGACGCGAGAGACCGGAACAAAAUAGAGUAAUGGCACACCUCCGAGUACUAAAAUAUUAUAGCAGUUAAAUAUAAACUCUACUAUUUGCAACAUAGAAACGAGCUUAGAUCCUUACUCUCCGUC
Molecule: long non-coding RNA, 5026 nt
Organism: Zea mays
Lineage: Eukaryota; Viridiplantae; Streptophyta; Magnoliopsida; Poales; Poaceae
Exons: 3
Source: RefSeq, a predicted model, not a curated record